UGCGUAGGCGGAUUAAUAAGUCAGUGGUGAAAUCUUCCGGCUCAACCGGGAACCUGCCAUUGAUACUGUUAGUCUUGAGUUCGGCUGAGGUAGGCGGAAUGUGUAAUGUAGCGGUGAAAUGCUUAGAUAUUACACAGAACACCAAUUGCGUAGGCAGCUUACUAGACCGACACUGACGCUGAGGCACGAAAGCGUGGGGAGCGAACAGGAUUAGAUACCCUGGUAGUCC
This 229-nucleotide ribosomal RNA is filed under the name uncultured bacterium. RNAcentral describes it as "partial 16S ribosomal RNA". It matches the Rfam family "Bacterial small subunit ribosomal RNA", at positions 568 to 796 of the family's 1533-position model. The record is from RNAcentral.